This 1459-nucleotide long non-coding RNA is filed under the name Olea europaea (common olive). RNAcentral describes it as "long non-coding RNA (OEUR_LNC012141)". The record is from RNAcentral. Lineage: Eukaryota; Viridiplantae; Streptophyta; Magnoliopsida; Lamiales; Oleaceae.
UUGCAAAUAAAUUUUGUGUAUAGAAAUAAAUCAACUUCAAGUAUGUAUGACUUUAUAGUUAUGGAUGGUGGAUCUCAUUAUCCAUUUUAUUUGACCAAAAUAUAUAUGCACAAAUCUGUUUUUCCUCUGAAUGAAGGCAUGUGUAAAAUUUAUUAUUAUUUCUAAAGACCCUUCGGAUGCUAUUGUUCUUAAUUCUGAAUUUUGAGGUGAAACUUUGUGUUCAUUCGAGAUCUAUUUCUCUCUUUCUAGAUAAAUGUUGGCUUUCAACAAUUAAAGUUAGCAUUUAAAGAACGGUACAAGAUAUUUUUCGAUGAUUAUAUAUGUGAAUUUGAAGCUAAUUUGAAUACAACCAAAUACUUCACAAACAUCUCUUUAACUUAGAAUGCAAACGUUACAUCAACAAAUAGCUCACCAAUUCAAAGAACUUUUAAAUAUGACGUUGUAACCUAGCAAACAAAAAACGAAAGCAGGAGUAGUUAUUUGAGAAUUUCAAAUAUGUAUUUUGAUUUUCUUUUGAAUGCUUAUGUCUACAAUCCACCAUACCUCCGUUUGUCGUAAUAACUUUUGUUUAUUGUAAUAUAAAUAUGUUAAACCUUUGUAGAUUGAAACAACUCUGUUUUUUGCUUAAUAUUACCAUCAUCAAUGAAAAUACUUGUGGACACAAUUUAUAUAAUCCAAUAUAAUCUUCAUGCAAAGCAGGUUUUCCACUAAAAUCUCACAAAACCAAAAUUCAAUACUAUUACUUACACUACAUUACCAACUACACGUGUAACGUACAUGCAUUCACUAUUCAGAGAAUCCAUAGAACACUGUUCAUUUAUGAAGCUUUCUUACUUUUCUCAUUUUACCCUUCAAUCCCAUUUUGCUAAUUUUGAACCUCUGAGCCUAAUUGUCUUUCCAUACGGAUACAAAAUAUCUCCUUUGACUGUCUGGACCGAAAGUUUUCUAUACUAAUCCCUAAUUGCUCUCUCAAUAGAAAAAGACGAAAUUCAACCGACGACUGGAGAAGAAGCUAACUGAGACGUAUACUUGUGAGUACAGUUGUUACUGCAUUGAUUUCUUUUUGUUUUGCAUAUAUUGGAUUUUCUUUUUUGAGUUAUAUUGUUCAAUCCAUGCUUAGUUUUAAUUUUUUAUUUUUUGGUUCGAUCUUCGAAGAGUUCGAAUCUGAAAUAUGUAAAGCCAUGUUUCAAGGGAUGGUUAAGGUUAUUAGGAUAGUGUGUAUAUGUUUUUCAAUUUAUGUAGUCGUGCAAUUUUUGUUCUUCUUUUUCUUCUUUUAAGAGAUCGAACCCAAAAUAUAUAAAGUUUGUUUCUUUGAUGUUAUUUUUAUGCAUUUUUUUGUUCUAUUUGUUCCUUUGUUAUAUGUUUUUUGCUUUCUUGUAUUUUUUUUUAUUUCUAUAGUUGUCGUGAGGAAUAUGUUAUUUCUUGUUCAAUAUUUUUUUCCCACUUGCCUUCUUUUUUU